Non-coding RNA from Cinara cedri, 209 nucleotides. Lineage: Eukaryota; Metazoa; Arthropoda; Insecta; Hemiptera; Aphididae. The record is from the annotation of a GenBank genome assembly.
UUCAAAAGAUUGUAAGGAUUCACUCUGUGGGUCUUUAUCAGUGUACAAAGGUAAAUUAAGAUAUUUGUAAAACAGUUCUGUCCCGUCCGUAUAUCACCGGACACUAUUUCUUAUGUUUUGUAAAACGCGAGAAUUGUUGCUGCUACCUGUGCGCUUUAAGUACAAAUCUAUAAUUAGCGCGUAUCGGUAAACGUACGUAUUCAUCGUUC